UACGUAGGUGGCAAGCGUUAUCCGGAAUUAUUGGGCGUAAAGCGCGCGUAGGCGGUUUUUUAAGUCUGAUGUGAAAGCCCACGGCUCAACCGUGGAGGGUCAUUGGAAACUGGAAAACUUGAGUGCAGAAGAGGAAAGUGGAAUUCCAUGUGUAGCGGUGAAAUGCGCAGAGAUAUGGAGGAACACCAGUGGCGAAGGCGACUUUCUGGUCUGUNAACUGACGCUGAUGUGCGAAAGCGUGGGGAUCAAACAGGAUUAGAUAC
RNAcentral lists this ribosomal RNA (263 nucleotides) under uncultured Staphylococcus sp. RNAcentral's name for it is "partial 16S ribosomal RNA". It matches the Rfam family "Bacterial small subunit ribosomal RNA", at positions 524 to 785 of the family's 1533-position model. Lineage: Bacteria; Bacillati; Bacillota; Bacilli; Caryophanales; Staphylococcaceae. The record is from RNAcentral.